RNAcentral lists this long non-coding RNA (1463 nucleotides) under Anas platyrhynchos platyrhynchos (common mallard). Its description in RNAcentral is "lncRNA (ENSAPLG00000021921.1)". Lineage: Eukaryota; Metazoa; Chordata; Aves; Anseriformes; Anatidae. The record is from RNAcentral.
CAGAGGACCAAGUACAGCGAACAAGUCCUCAUGACAGAGGUGGGAUGGGAUGAUGAGGCCCCUACAGGCAAAGGAAGAGCAUAGCCUAAAGCAAGAGAUGGCUGCUAACCCAAGGGGAACCUAACAGAUGUAAGGAGAACUCAGCAACUGGCAACCUUUAUCCCACAUUCUCACAAAGAGUCCUAAACAUACCAUCUGGACACAGACAUCCAGGUGUUUGCAUGCUGAAAAAAACACCUUUAUUCACACUUCAUGGUGUUCUUGUGGGAAUAAAGGUAUGAGUAUGAAUGGGCCAAAUCAGUUUUACUUCAGAUUUAAUUUUAAAACAAAACCUGAAGUGCAAUCAGGAGACAUAACAAUAAGACCAUGCUGGUCUGAACAUCCCAAGAUAUUUGAAGGUUUGGAAAGCUACCAUGACUUACCUAGAGAAGAAAGGAAGAGUGAACAAGCUGGAACAAAAUAGAUUCCCCUGACCCCAUCUCAGAAACUCUUAUUACAUCUCUCAUACUUUUUCUUAAAGGAGCCAAUAUAUGGAGGUGUCAGGGGAAUCUGUCCAACAAUAAUUUUUUCUUUAAAGUGAUCUUGAAACUCUAACUUCUAGUAAUAUAAGUGCUUUUGACUUGUAUAUUGUGGAAACAGCAUUUCUUUUAAUGUACAGCAUAUUCUCACAGUUUUCACUUAGCAAAAGUAAUGAUAAUGCCAGCUGUAUCUAUCCAAAUCUGUCUCUACUUACCACAAGGCAAAAUUUGAAUUCACAUUAAGACACAUUUUUCAUGCAGCCUAUUAUUCAAUCUUAACAAAUACUUAAGAACAAUCUUCAAAGUACAGGUUACCAAAAACUCCAAUUGAAGUGCUUAUGGAUUUUUUUUAUUUUUAUUUUUUAAUAGGUGGGAAGGGAGCUUAGAAUCAUUAUAAGUAACUUCACUGAAAACAGACAAGGGGAAGGCAGUACUUUAAUUGCUCAACAUUAAACAACUGCAGAACCCAGGAACACUUACCUGCCAGCUUCUGAACUUGAGUCACUUCAAAACUGCUUCCCAGUGAAGUAGUACCACCAGGGUUUUACUGUACUGAGAAGACACCACCAACAGAAUUAGCUCAUAGAGCCUCUAAAACUCUUUCACAGAAACGGUGGAAAACACAGAGACAAAGCAGCCUACUGAGGAACACUGAGUCUAUUUCACCAUGACGAUAGAAAAGCACCCUAGGUAACCUGAGCCCCAAACUCCCCUAGAGAGACAAUUCCUCCCCAUGCCUCCUCAUGAUUCCUAUAUAGCAAAGGUCAUAUGAUCCACAGCUGACAGAUUUCACUUAAUAAGGGUGGAGCCAACAGACCUUGUGGAAUAGGUUCAUCUACCUGGCUUCAAUGAUUUAAGGUCAAUUGCUCCUUAUUGCUAAGAGAAAUAACCUGACAAGGGGCUUAGCGGUUAGAGGUGACCUAAUGAAUUAACUACAAAAGGUGC